This 2235-nucleotide ribosomal RNA is filed under the name Salmonella enterica subsp. enterica serovar Muenster. RNAcentral describes it as "bacterial LSU rRNA". It matches the Rfam family "Bacterial large subunit ribosomal RNA", at positions 594 to 2812 of the family's 2925-position model. The record is from RNAcentral. Lineage: Bacteria; Pseudomonadati; Pseudomonadota; Gammaproteobacteria; Enterobacterales; Enterobacteriaceae.
UGACUGCGUACCUUUUGUAUAAUGGGUCAGCGACUUAUAUUCUGUAGCAAGGUUAACCGAAUAGGGGAGCCGGAGGGAAACCGAGUCUUAAUUGGGCGUUAAGUUGCAGGGUAUAGACCCGAAACCCGGUGAUCUAGCCAUGGGCAGGUUGAAGGUUGGGUAACACUAACUGGAGGACCGAACCGACUAAUGUUGAAAAAUUAGCGGAUGACCUGUGGCUGGGGGUGAAAGGCCAAUCAAACCGGGAGAUAGCUGGUUCUCCCCGAAAGCUAUUUAGGUAGCGCCUCGUGAAUUCAUCUCCGGGGGUAGAGCACUGUUUCGGCUAGGGGGCCAUCCCGGCUUACCAACCCGAUGCAAACUGCGAAUACCGGAGAAUGUUAUCACGGGAGACACACGGCGGGUGCUAACGUCCGUCGUGAAGAGGGAAACAACCCAGACCGCCAGCUAAGGUCCCAAAGUCAUGGUUAAGUGGGAAACGAUGUGGGAAGGCCCAGACAGCCAGGAUGUUGGCUUAGAAGCAGCCAUCAUUUAAAGAAAGCGUAAUAGCUCACUGGUCGAGUCGGCCUGCGCGGAAGAUGUAACGGGGCUAAACCAUGCACCGAAGCUGCGGCAGCGACACUCAGGUGUUGUUGGGUAGGGGAGCGUUCUGUAAGCCUGCGAAGGUGUGCUGUGAGGCAUGCUGGAGGUAUCAGAAGUGCGAAUGCUGACAUAAGUAACGAUAAAGCGGGUGAAAAGCCCGCUCGCCGGAAGACCAAGGGUUCCUGUCCAACGUUAAUCGGGGCAGGGUGAGUCGACCCCUAAGGCGAGGCCGAAAGGCGUAGUCGAUGGGAAACGGGUUAAUAUUCCCGUACUUGGUGUUACUGCGAAGGGGGGACGGAGAAGGCUAUGUUGGCCGGGCGACGGUUGUCCCGGUUUAAGCGUGUAGGUGUGUGUUCCAGGUAAAUCCGGUUCACUUUAACACUGAGGCGUGACGACGAGGCACUACGGUGCUGAAGCAACAAAUGCCCUGCUUCCAGGAAAAGCCUCUAAGCAUCAGGUAACAUCAAAUCGUACCCCAAACCGACACAGGUGGUCAGGUAGAGAAUACCAAGGCGCUUGAGAGAACUCGGGUGAAGGAACUAGGCAAAAUGGUGCCGUAACUUCGGGAGAAGGCACGCUGACACGUAGGUGAAGUGAUUUACUCACGGAGCUGAAGUCAGUCGAAGAUACCAGCUGGCUGCAACUGUUUAUUAAAAACACAGCACUGUGCAAACACGAAAGUGGACGUAUACGGUGUGACGCCUGCCCGGUGCCGGAAGGUUAAUUGAUGGGGUCAGCGCAAGCGAAGCUCCUGAUCGAAGCCCCGGUAAACGGCGGCCGUAACUAUAACGGUCCUAAGGUAGCGAAAUUCCUUGUCGGGUAAGUUCCGACCUGCACGAAUGGCGUAAUGAUGGCCAGGCUGUCUCCACCCGAGACUCAGUGAAAUUGAACUCGCUGUGAAGAUGCAGUGUACCCGCGGCAAGACGGAAAGACCCCGUGAACCUUUACUAUAGCUUGACACUGAACAUUGAGCCUUGAUGUGUAGGAUAGGUGGGAGGCUUUGAAGUGUGGACGCCAGUCUGCAUGGAGCCGGCCUUGAAAUACCACCCUUUAAUGUUUGAUGUUCUAACGUGGACCCGUAAUCCGGGUUGCGGACAGUGUCUGGUGGGUAGUUUGACUGGGGCGGUCUCCUCCUAAAGAGUAACGGAGGAGCACGAAGGUUGGCUAAUCCUGGUCGGACAUCAGGAGGUUAGUGCAAUGGCAUAAGCCAGCUUGACUGCGAGCGUGACGGCGCGAGCAGGUGCGAAAGCAGGUCAUAGUGAUCCGGUGGUUCUGAAUGGAAGGGCCAUCGCUCAACGGAUAAAAGGUACUCCGGGGAUAACAGGCUGAUACCGCCCAAGAGUUCAUAUCGACGGCGGUGUUUGGCACCUCGAUGUCGGCUCAUCACAUCCUGGGGCUGAAGUAGGUCCCAAGGGUAUGGCUGUUCGCCAUUUAAAGUGGUACGCGAGCUGGGUUUAGAACGUCGUGAGACAGUUCGGUCCCUAUCUGCCGUGGGCGCUGGAGAACUGAGGGGGGCUGCUCCUAGUACGAGAGGACCGGAGUGGACGCAUCACUGGUGUUCGGGUUGUCAUGCCAAUGGCACUGCCCGGUAGCUAAAUGCGGAAGAGAUAAGUGCUGAAAGCAUCUAAGCACGAAACUUGCCCCGAGAUGAGUUCU